This 423-nucleotide ribosomal RNA is filed under the name uncultured bacterium. RNAcentral's name for it is "bacterial SSU rRNA". It matches the Rfam family "Bacterial small subunit ribosomal RNA", at positions 207 to 622 of the family's 1533-position model. The record is from RNAcentral.
AAGACCUUGCGCUUUUGGAGCGGCCGAUGUCUGAUUAGCUUGUUGGUAAGGUAAAAGCUUACCAAGGCUUCGAUCAGUAGCUGGUCUGAGAGGACGACCAGCCACACUGGGACUGAGACACGGCCCAGACUCCUACGGGAGGCAGCAGUGGGGAAUUUUGGACAAUGGGGGCAACCCUGAUCCAGCCAUGCCGCGUGAGUGAAGAAGGCCUUCGGGUUGUAAAGCUCUUUCAGCCGGAACGAAACGGUUACGGUUAAUACCCGUGACUACUGACGGUACCGGAAGAAGAAGCACCGGCUAACUACGUGCCAGCAGCCGCGGUAAUACGUAGGGUGCAAGCGUUAAUCGGAAUUACUGGGCGUAAAGCGUGCGCAGGUGGUUUUGUAAGUCAGAUGUGAAAUCCCCAGGCUUAACCUGGGAACU